GAUGAACGCUAGCGGCAGGCUUAAUACAUGCAAGUCGAACGGUAAGGUCUCUUCGGAGAUACACGAGUGGCGCACGGGUGCGUAACGCGUAUGCAACCUACCUUUAACUGGGAAAUAGCCCCGAGAAAUCGGGAUUAAUGUCCCAUACUAUUCUGAGAAUGCAUAUUCUUAGAAUGAAAGCUCCGGCGGUUAUUGAUGGGCAUGCGUGACAUUAGCUAGUUGGUGAGGUAACGGCUCACCAAGGCUACGAUGUCUAGGGGUCCUGAGAGGGUUAACCCCCACACUGGUACUGAGACACGGACCAGACUCCUACGGGAGGCAGCAGUAAGGAAUAUUGGGCAAUGGACGCAAGUCUGACCCAGCCAUGCCGCGUGAAGGAUGAAUGUCCUAUGGAUUGUAAACUUCUUUUAUGCAGGAAAAAUAUCUCGGUCGUGAACCGGGGACUGAUGGUACUGUAUGAAUAAGCAUCGGCUAACUCCGUGCCAGCAGCCGCGGU
Molecule: ribosomal RNA, 496 nt
Filed under: uncultured bacterium
Lineage: Bacteria
Description: bacterial SSU rRNA
Rfam family: Bacterial small subunit ribosomal RNA
Source: RNAcentral